GCAGUGGUGGUUCAGUGGUACAAUUCUCGCCUUCCGUGCAGGAGACCUGGGUUCGAUUCCCAGUGAAUGCA
RNAcentral lists this transfer RNA (71 nucleotides) under Loxodonta africana (African savanna elephant). It matches the Rfam family "tRNA". From Rfam's summary of the family: Transfer RNA (tRNA) molecules are approximately 80 nucleotides in length. Their secondary structure includes four short double-helical elements and three loops (D, anti-codon, and T loops). Lineage: Eukaryota; Metazoa; Chordata; Mammalia; Proboscidea; Elephantidae. The record is from Rfam by way of RNAcentral.